UACGUAGGGUGCAAGCGUUGUCCGGAAUUAUUGGGCGUAAAGAGCUCGUAGGCGGUUUGUCGCGUCGAAUGUGAAAACCCGGGGCUCAACUCCGGGCCUGCAUUCGAUACGGGCAGACUAGAGUUCGGUAGGGGAGACUGGAAUUCCUGGUGUAGCGGUGGAAUGCGCAGAUAUCAGGAGGAACACCAAUGGCGAAGGCAGAUCUCUGGGCCGUAACUGACGCUGAGGAGCGAAAGCAUGGGGAGCGAACAGG
Molecule: ribosomal RNA, 253 nt
Filed under: uncultured bacterium
Lineage: Bacteria
Description: partial 16S ribosomal RNA
Rfam family: Bacterial small subunit ribosomal RNA
Source: RNAcentral